AGAUGCGAUCAUACCAGCACUAAAGCACCGGAUCCCAUCAGAACUCCGAAGUUAAGCGUGCUUGGGCGAGAGUAGUACUAGAAUGGGUGACCUCCUGGAAGUCCUCGUGUUGCAUUCC
RNAcentral lists this ribosomal RNA (118 nucleotides) under Triticum aestivum (bread wheat). Lineage: Eukaryota; Viridiplantae; Streptophyta; Magnoliopsida; Poales; Poaceae. The record is from RNAcentral.